This is a long non-coding RNA of Phasianus colchicus (ring-necked pheasant), 8383 nucleotides long. RefSeq lists it as uncharacterized. The record is from RefSeq and is a predicted model, not a curated record. NCBI's taxonomy places the organism in Eukaryota, Metazoa, Chordata, Aves, Galliformes, Phasianidae.
UUGCUCUAUCAAAUAGUGUUAUUGUGCUCUUGGUUGUAGUUUCUGUGGAAAUAAAUAGGAGGCGACUUGGACUUGAAAAGGUUUUGUCUCUCCACACCUGUCCUUUGUUACAGCUGACUUUGAUGUGACAAAUUUGUCUCCCAUCACGCUGUGUUUCUUCACCUUUUCCAUCUGCAGAGGUGUCUUAUGUUGAAGGCUGUUCUGGUGGAAGUUGGUUGUCCAGAGUUAAUUUUAUUUUGUUUGGUUUUGAGCACAACAUCUGAAGCCCUCGUUUGGUGGUAACCUGCCCUUUAGGUAUGAGGGAUUGCUGUCAGAGUGAAUCCAGACAGGCAUUCGUGGCAGAGGCAAUGAGUGGGAAUUUCUUGAACUCUAACUGGAGACAGAGGGCUCAUGUUUUUUGAAGGUCUGCCAUUUCAGGGGAAAGAGAUUUGUCUUCAAUUUGUGCAGUCUGGAAGAAUCAAAGAAUCUGCCAGAAAGACCAAAACUCUCUAUUCCAGUUGUUUCUGUCUUAGGUUUUCCUGCUGUGGGAUGUGGAGGUGGAGGGUGAGGGCCAGGGUUUUUUUUACUUCCCACAAAUGACAGUAUCCUUUAAUUUGGAUGCAUUGCAAGGAAGACAUUUGUUUCCUUUAAAGCUCAACCAAUCCUCCUCCUUCAUGUUGUCUUUCUGAAGUGAAAGCUGUUCCGUUUAGCAAUGGCUGGGCUUUCACGAGCCCUCUCCUGAUGUUGACAAACUCUGGACUUCUGGAGAGAAGCCAAAAAGAUUAAAAUUGUCACAUCAGCUUUUUUUUUUUUUUUUUUUUUUCUUUAAUGGGAUGAUUCUUAAACCACAAGUUGAGCUGCCUUUCAGUUCAUCUUACCUUAAUGUUCCCAUGCUGGUGUGGUUUCUCUCAAAGCGAUUUUGCUCUUCUGUGUGACGAAUGGAAGGAGCACAGGGCUUGGAUACCUGCAUUCUGCAAAUGAUUUUACAUGUUAUCAUUGAUGCCUGCCAUGUCAUUCCUGUUCUGUUUUAACUGUGAAUAGUUUUGAAGGGAUGUUAAAACCUCAAACUUGGAGACUUAGCACAAAGAACUGCUGAUAUGGGCGGUUACAAUAAUUGUCUGCCAUUUUAAUGAUUAGAUGGUCCUGAUGCAGUGGAGUGUCUGCACUGGGUCUGCUGUUGAGAAAUACAGAUACUGGUGAGUUAUGCAAUGUGAGCUGAGAGUUUAGUGGGUAACAUCUGAUUUUUUUUCUAAUGUGAUCAUUUGAAGUUUGAUGUCUUCCUGACAACUUUACUUGGCUCUUCAUAGCAAUUUUCAUGCCUUGAAAAUAUGCAGGGGUUAGGUGGGGGAUCAUGUUCUUUGAUAAGGGCCUAGGAUUCUUUUAAUAACAAGGACUCUUUUGUUACAGGCUGAUCUUGUGCUACCUUGGUGUGGGAGUGGUGAGGUUUAGAAUGGAUGGUGUCACUAAUUAGUGACCACAUGAAAACUUUUCCAAUCUGCAUUGCUUCCAGACAAAUUAAGCUAUGUGUCGAGGCGAGGACAUUUGGUGAUCCUGAGAAGCCAGUUAAUAUUAUUCUUAGACCACAAGGAAUUUCCACUUACUGUAAAGCUGUCAGGCUGUUCCUCUUCUCCCCGUCAGUGAGACUGCAGCUUUGUUCUCUGUGUGUCCAGUGGCACUGCAGUGAUGUGUUGGGGCAGUGAUGAUACAGACCAUUAACAGCAGCGUGCUGCUUGUGUGAGUUUCUGCAGGAGCAGCCAGGGUGUGGGACAGCUAUAAAGUGCUUGGUCAGGUUAAAGAGCAUAAUGAAAUUAAGGUUUGCAGCAGGAAACAUUUAUUGUUAGCAGUCUAGCCACAUGCUUGCUCACCAUCUCAUAGAGGCCCAGAGUGCCAGCAGGUGAAUGUUACAACAUGUUGGUUCUUACAGGCCUAGAUGAAGGAGUACCAGCUGCUCAGCAGAGCAGCAAAAGCGUGGCAGGUUUGGUGUGUGAGUUUGGUUUUCUGAUGAUGUAUCCAGUCGUUGAGAAAGCCAUCAAACACACUUUGUGUUGCUCUGUAGAGUGCUGGGAGCAGUCCUGAGCACAGCAGGAAUAUAAUGAAGACCUGUCAGAAAGCUGCGUUCUUGGGCAGUGUUUCCAGUGGGCUGCGUCACCUGACUGGAGCUGUGACGUGCGUGGUCUGGAGGUGACGCAGAAUGUGUUUGCUGGGACUGGAGCUUUCAGGGUAGUCUGCUCAGGGCUCUCUGCUGGCACACUUCUGGGUGCAGGAGGGAGGUUUGGGGGAGCUGUAGGCACCAUCACUGAUCAGCCUGCAGGGAUAGACAAGCCUUUUGUACAGUGUGCUGUGUGAGCAGUUUGUGGACUGCAUGAAGGUCACAAGGGAGCGCUGCAUCUCUGGAAGUGGUGGGGGACAGAGGUGUGGGGGUGCAGGCUGGGUGCCAUCCGGCCUUGGGAGAACCGAUAAAUUUGGAUACAAUACCAAGUGAAUGUUGCUGGCUGUAGGAUUUAUAUUUUUGCUCCUGAGCAUGAGGCCUGUUGAAGUUUUGACCAUAAAUAAUUGCUAUCUCUCCAGCGCGUGGACUCUGGCUCUGUGCUUGGCCCUGUGUCCCAGCCCCCGCUCCGCUCAGCAGGGUCAGGGAGAAGGGAGAAGGGGCGGUGUCUUUGGCUGACAUGAGCCCGCUGGGGAGGGAUGAGAGGAAGGGGGUCUUGGGGGCUGGGUUCAGAGCAAGGUUAGCCAAAUAUCGGAUAAAUUAAGCAAGAGAAACAGACAGCUCAGCUUGCAGUGAACUUUUCACCCAGCUAACCUGUUGCUCACCCUGCAUUGCACAGGUGGAGUACAACUCAAGUAGAGCACAACCCUGGCUUUCCCUGCCUCCUCUUCUGCUGUAGUGUGAGGCAUGGCCAAGGAGAGAGCAGGAACUGAAAGGAGUUUGAUUUGUUGUUUUGAGUCCAGAAAAGAUCUGACUGCUGUCUUAAGAGCACUGAAGUUAAUGCUAAUAAUGGCCAUAGGGUUAGUUAGUGUUUGUUCCGGUGUAGAACCUCUACCAGUAAUUCGUGGUCAUAGAGAAUGGGGAAGAAAUUCCAUGCUGGACAGGGCAAGGAACAAACAGUGCCUGAACAGGAAUGGUUAGAGAUUCUAUGUGGGAAGAUGCAGGGCUGGUGGGAAUUCAGCGAAUUCUGAUGUUUAUAUUUCUCUGACUUUUCAUCUGCAUUUGCAGUGCAAGUAAAUACAAAUGAUUGCUGACAGAUGUUGUAAAAACAUAGCAUUAUGCUAACCAUUAAGCUUAAUUUUGUUCUCAGUUACUAAUGCACAUGGCAUAGUAUGGCCCUUAUUCACAUCACCUCUGUAUAAAUCAUGAACUUUCCUCCAGGAGUACGGAAUCCAGAACAGAAUUUAUUCUGUUGGCCUUCUCUGAAAUCAUUACUGCUUCUUCUCCCAAGAACUCUCCAAGCAAAUUGAAGUUAAUGGGGUGGCAGCUUUGUUGGAAAGUUAACAUCCAGUAGAGUGCUUAAACCCUCAAAGUUCUCUGGCUUCAGGUCAGUGUUUUGAAAUUGGAACUCCUCUUCUCUGAUCUUCCUUUUCACUCACUGUAGGUGAGGAAGGCCUGAAACCCACUGAAGUGCCUAUUGCACAGUAUUUCUGGGAGUUCAGCCCUUUAUUUUUGUAAGUGUGCCUAAAUUCCAUAAAACAGAGGUCUUCGCAGAGGCUUUGAAGAGCCUUUUAUCGGUAGUGAACUUUCAGAUGGUAAAUGCCAGGAGCUCUGUCUAAAAUGGAAGGAACAUUGUAUAAACCUAGAGAUAAGCACUGACUUCAGGGAGCUGUGAGCCUUCCUAGAGCUGUGAGUAUUUUCUGUUCUGCUCAGUGCAGGAGGAUGGCUUCCCUCCCCCAUUUUGGAUCUGGGAAGGAGGUCGAGUUUUUCUUGCUCUGCAUGUGCAUUUGAGUUCGUGUACAGCUCCUCAGGCACUGCCAGGUUUACAUUAGGUGAUUGGCUGCAAAGUAGUACUGACAGUGUCUCCCUUGGUAUCUCAAAUUCCUGGGUGUUGAGGAAGAACUGGAGCUCAGACUGCCAUUACCACACAGACCAGAUGUGCAUUCAAGCCAGCCCAACAUUGCCAUAGAAUGGUGGGGAGCUGGUGACAUGCCUUGGUGGUUCCAGAGCAAUGGGGCUUCACCCAGUGGGAGGGCAGGAAUGGCAGUGCUGUGGUGGAGCCCACUGUUACAGUUAGAGCUCACUAACUCCUCUCCUGCCAGGGAACAGGGAUGUCAUUCUGCUUUCUUAAAGUUCCAGCAUUUUGCCUGAUAGGUGAGAAAUGAAUGUAGAACGGGUGCACAAGCUUGGUAUUCCUAUUGACAGAAAGGGGCUGUAGGUCUCUUCUGUAGAUGGAGAAGAGUAGGGGUGUGUUAGAAGAAGGGGAGGAGAAAAAGAUUAUGAACUGCAGUGUAGUUUCUGGGCUUGCCUGUUGCAUCAGCCCGUUGCUGAUGCCACUGGUUACUUAGCAGGUUUUCUUCUCAUGCAGUUGUUUAAAAAGUAAAAGUAGCAGUCGAAAUCUGCACGAGGCAGCACUGCUCUCUGCUGCCCCAUCCCCUGCAAUGACAGAAGCAGUUCUGUACAUUUGGUGAACCCAGAGAAUGGAUUCUGUUUAAAGUCAUGUUUUUGUUUGCUUGUUUGGGGCCCUUGGUUUGUUGUUCUGGUUUUGUUUUGUUCCCUUGGGAUGGUCUGGCUGACUAAUUUUACAGCCUGUUGUUUUUCAAAUGCAGAUGUCACCACUGGAGAGAGAAUGGGGCAAGGACAAGUUCAGCGGUCACUAGAUAAGGAGGACCAUUUUUUUUCCAUCAGUUUGAAGAGAUUUGGCAGAGCUUUAAGUAACACAGUAAUUUUCCUAAAGCUUGUUCAACCUGCCAGCUAAAGUAUGUGUUCUCCACAAAAGUUUCUCCCUUUUAGACACGUUUGCAACACUUCCCAGACCACUUUGUUCUUUCACCUUAUGGCUUGAAACCCUUGUUUCAGGGCAAGCUUGUUUCUUCUACUGUAUUUUUACGGCCCCUUGAGUGACAUCAUUCAAAUGGUGAGUCUCUGAGAGAUGAUUCAUACCGAAAAAGAUCUAAUAAUUGUUACCAGUUAUUCAAAUCAGUGUUACUGAUUUCCCGCAUCCUCCCACUGGUCCCUUGAGCUUCCCCACCCACUCGUUUCUCCUAAUAAUUCCCAGGCUUUCUGGCUGUAUGCUCAGCGUGCCCUCCUCAGUGUUACUGUGCAAAGGUGUAAGUAUCUCGCCCUCCCCUGAGGAGCUCUUAGGGCUUGGCUGCAGCAGCUUGUGUAGGCAGAUACAGGCUGAGCUGAACUGGCAAGGUAGAGGUGGAUUGACGAGAGCCUCAGUAAAGCUUCGAACUGCUUUCACAGCACAUCUUCUGUUUCACUGCUGUGUCGGUAUUGUUGGCAGCCUCUGAUGUUCAAAGCUAGAUGAGUAAUGUGUUUGCAGGCUGUGGUGUUGGGGUGCACAGAACUCUGAACUAGAUUAUCCUGAGAAGCUCUGCAGGUUUUGGGGGUAAUUACAUGCUCUGUGCUAGCAAAGACUUGCACCAGUAGUCACCCUAUCAUGCUGCUGCUGUUCCAGUUUGUAGUGAAGAAUGUUUCUUCUGUUUCACGAACACAGAUGUGUAACUCAUGAAGCUUGUUUCUCCUGCACCAUGAAUUGAACUCUGUGCUGUGCAGUGAUUCACAUCAUCAGUGUAAAAAGCAAACUCUUAUUGGGAGCAGCUAUAUAUUGUUCUUCAUCCAGCUCCUCAGUCUGACCCCAUAUUUCCUUCACACCCUUUCUUCAUAUCCCUGCAUCCUUGUCUUUAAUCUUCCCUGUUUAAGUCCCUUCCAUGUGCAUUUUGUCAUUUCUCUUGCGCAUUCACCUUCUUAGUCGUUCUUUUUGUUGGCAGGGGCACACUUGAUUUUGCCCAGUGUUAUAUGGAUCUUGAGUAUCAGAGGUGGAAAGGGGUAAAUCUGGAUCAGUUCUGGAUGCCCAGAAUGAACACGCUGAUGUUCAUGUCUCUGCACGCUGUAAACCCAGCCUCAAAACAAGUCUGUGGCUCUUGUGGAGAGAACUGCUUUACGUGGCAGCAUCCUUUUGUGUUGCAUUGGAUUCAGCAUUGUGUUCAGGGCUGAAAUGCCCUGUGUGCCGUGCGUUGGCCCGGCAGGAUGAACUCACACAAAAUGAGUGUCAGAGCUGCCCUUUCUGGAAAAGUGAUAGGAAUUUAUGGCUGUCGCAUCUGCAGUAAAGCUGGCACCGCAGCCCUACUUCGUCAGCAGUAGGACAGCGGAGGGGAAAAAAAGCAUGGUAUAACCUUUGGUAUGUUAUUUAUUAUCAGUUUGCAGCCCCCUGGAAAAUGAACUUUAGAAAAUUCUGUGCUGAUGGUAACGAUGAACAUUGGGAAAACCCAGGAAUCAGCAAAUCCAUUGUGUUGCGCUGACAGAAAGAUACUGUUACAACACACUUUAGCUGCCAACUUGCUGCAGUCACUCAAUCCAUCAUGGUGGGCUGUUGGAUCACAAGGCAGUGAAACUCAGCCUGGCGUGUUAUUUUAGUCUUACAUGGACUGUGAGAUAAACGGGGCAUGAACCAGCCCCCUGGCAGGGGGUCGACCCCUAGCGCCCUCAUUAAAGUGCCAAUCAAAAAGAGUAAUGGAACAGGGAAUGGAAAGCUGGCUUCUUCAGCCUGUUACUGCACACAGUCUGAGCAACUUGCACAAGCCAAGGGAAACAUUUCUCUUCUGAAGAGGAGCCAGGCUUCCAGAAAUACCUCCUCUCUCCUUGUCUCUUUGUGUGCAAUGCUGAGACCCUCCUGUGCAUCCUGCCUGUGGUGGGAGCCGGUGGUGGGAGCCUGUUGCUUACCACAGUGCAAGCAGUGGGAAGAAGUGUGGCCGAAUGUAACCUGGAAAGGAUGUAGAUGCUGCUUCUGUGGAAUACAGCAGUCAGUGAUUGGUUACAGCAUGGCUUCUCUUGCACGUUGCUCGGAUUUCAGCAUUUGCGUGUGAAAGAUGGGCAGAAAACGGUAGAUGCAGAAGUCAUGCUGGUGUGCACAGAAAGUGUACUGCUGUGCUCUUAUGGGUUAUUUCAACUUUCUGCAGGAACCCACAGCAAACAGUGAUACCAGGGUGAACGCAGCACUGCUGUGCUGUUUGUCCUUGGUGGUGAAUAUUUCAAAGAGCUGUAUAACAUCUGCAUUGCCAGUGGAUGCUCAUCUUCCCGUUCUGAGUGCAUUCCAACAGUGGUGAUACUGUGGGAAUUUAUGUACCAUCUUGUGAUGCCUUCUGGGCUUCUGGUACAUUCUGCAGAUCAGCUUCGCUCUGGUGGGUGUUUGGCAGAGAGAACAAAAGGUAACGAGUGAAAAGAAAAAGCACCAUAAUACCUUAAUAGGUAUUACAAAUUUGGUUAAAAGCUUCUGUUGCCUGGAAGAUUGCAGGUGGCUACAGGGUGAUGCAUGAUCACAGGAAGGAGCCAUCCAGCCAUCCUUUGUUGCUUCCUGUUCUCAUGCUGUGCUGCAGUAAUGGCUCUUCUAGGUGCUUGAAGCUGCAGUCAGACCACGUUGUGGUGAAGAAGAGAAAGCAGCAGCAAGAUUCUGUGUUCUGAUGCUGGUCUUGUACUUCACUAUGGGAUCUUAGUCAAGGCCUCCUUUCAUGAGUAACCGAGCACUGUUACAGCCGUGUGAACCCAGGGGCAGUGUGAGGACCCAGCCUUGUGUACACAUCUGGUGCUGCUUUACUCACAUUCUCCCACUCAGAAAGUCUGAUGAUAAAGACCUUAGGAAAGGAGUACAUCUCAGUCCUAGAGAAACCGACCUGGAUUCUGUUAAUGGAACAUUUUCUCUGCGAGCUGCCAGUAACCCAGUGUAUGCCCAGACCCUGCUUUUCAGAGCUAGGUACAAGAGCUGAAUUAGCUGUGAUUAGAAAAUACAGGAAUGUUCUUUAAGGAAGAGAAGCAGAGCAAGCAAGUUUUUCCCUCGGGGUGUCAUCAUCUGGUGCUUCAUGCCCUGUAUGAAUCAGAGGCAGCAAGGGAGACAGAUACCUGAUCUGCUCCCCUCACCUGUGAUGUGCUGCAGCCUGCUACCAGCCAAGGACUGUCUCCAGGAAUUAAACUUACGUAUAAAAUUAUGUUAUGGGUAGGCUUCUGAAAUUUCAAGACAAUCUACUUUCAUGGCUGCAACUCCUAUCUCCUCCAAUAAAACCAGGCUGAAGGAUACUUAACUGCCUUCAUAAAGCUCAGAACUUCACGUGAUUUGAAUACCAUCAGCUCCAGACUGAUUCCUGCAGUUCACUCUGGCAGUAAGGAAGAUGUUUCAAGAGUCCAGCUCUAAUUGUUCUUGAUUUUCACUGAGUCUUAACAUAAGCUGUUGUUCAUAAUAAAGGCUCUUUGCAUAGUUUA